This 465-nucleotide ribosomal RNA is filed under the name uncultured bacterium. RNAcentral describes it as "partial 16S ribosomal RNA". It matches the Rfam family "Bacterial small subunit ribosomal RNA", at positions 28 to 507 of the family's 1533-position model. The record is from RNAcentral.
GACGAACGCUGGCGGCGUGCUUAACACAUGCAAGUCGAACGGAAAGGCCCCUUUGGGGGUACUCGAGUGGCGAACGGGUGAGUAACACGUGAGUAACCUGCCCUUGACUUCGGGAUAACUUCAGGAAACUGGGGCUAAUACCGGAUAGGAAUCCUUGCUGCAUGGUGGGGGUUGGAAAGCUUCGGCGGUUUUGGAUGGACUCGCGGCUUAUCGGCUUGUUGGUGGGGUAGUGGCUUACCAAGGCUUUGACGGGUAGCCGGCCUGAGAGGGCGACCGGCCACAUUGGGACUGAGGGACGGCCCAGACUCCUACGGGAGGCAGCAGUGGGGAAUAUUGCACAAUGGGCGGAAGCCUGAUGCAGCAACGCCGCGGGCGGGAUGACGGCCUUCGGGUGGUAAACCGCUUUCAGCAGGGGCGAAGCUUGUGGUGACAGUACCUGCAGAAGAAGCACCGGCUAACUACGUG